Corvus hawaiiensis (hawaiian crow) is the source of this 4890-nucleotide long non-coding RNA. RefSeq lists it as uncharacterized. The transcript is spliced from 5 exons. The record is from RefSeq and is a predicted model, not a curated record. Lineage: Eukaryota; Metazoa; Chordata; Aves; Passeriformes; Corvidae.
GAGCGAGGGAGGUCGGAUUCUCCCCCUUCCCAGCCUGCCAAGCAGCCAAAAAUUGGAGCCCCACGGGAGGGCUGGGGAAAUAUAAUACUGGUGGAUUUGCUUUGGAGAGGAAAAAAAAUACUAUUUGAGAAGAAGGUUACUUGCAUGACCAGAGAAUGAUUGAGGGACCCCUGUUUUAAAAGAGCUGGAUGCCUAAGCCUGAAUUAAUAAACUAGGAACUGCUGUUGAAACAAUGCAAGGAAUUUCUGCAGGAAAGACAGAAGGGACUCUGGAAAAGCAAGAAGGAAUAAAUGUUUAAGUGGAAAUACAUUUCAUUAUGACUCUGCCAGUUUCUUGGUUUGGAAGGAUGGAGGUACAUCUGGCAGAUGACUUCAGUUUUCAGAGGCACUAAACUGCAAAUUUCAAUAAAUUAGUAGCUGGGACAGAAGAAGAUCCAAACUAGUUUUUCCUGAGGGAAAAGUUGGAGCAGAAAGUCAAAUACAUGAUCAGAAACCAGAGUAGCAAGGCAGUGGAAGUGCUCUAGUCUUGAAGCAAGUCUUGGCCAGAAUUUGGUAUUCAGAGGAGAGCUCAGCCACAAAACCUGGAGCACCAGGGUGUCAGGCUUCAGGUGUUGCACUGAUCAUGGAAUGAUUCACACUCCUAGGGAGGAGGAAGACUUGUGAAUGAAGUAUUUCUUUGUAGAUACAGACUUUUUCUCAUUUCCUUAUUUGAAGAGAAUGACAAAUUUUAGUCUGAAAACAUUAAAAGAAUGUGAAGAAAAUGCUUUUAUUUUCCUGAAUUUUCUAGACAACACUGGAACACAUCCCUUCACUUUCUUUUCUGAAGUCCUUCUAUUCAUUCAUUUGCCUAAUGAUCCCAUACUUUUUUCUUUUUAUUUAUGAAUGAUAAGUAAGAACUCUUUGAUAUUUUUUUUUAUUACAUCAAAAUACAAACGUUGGCAGAAUUAAGUAAUUUGUGCCAGAGAUCACCUUAUUGUCAUCACUUAUAACAAAAGAUUAGGGACUGUAAAUGGUAACUGCGGAGUGGUGAAAACAAAUUUAGUUUCCUAUGCAAAGACUUUUUUUCCUGUCUUUCCAUCACUGUAAAUGUAUGUACAAUUCCUCUUUUGGACAGGAGCCUCUCAUCUUUUGACCUUAGAAAAGGUUGGGUUUUCUUUUUAUUGUCAAAGAGUCGAGGGGACAAAUGCAAGGUGUGGAACAACUGAGUAGGCAGCAAAUCUCCAAAAGGGAAUUUGUGAGUCAGCAGAUCCAUCCUGAUGAAAAAAGGAAUCCUGUAAAGAUGAGGGGUGCUAUAGAAGGUACGGGAGGUAAUACCUCUUUCCCAUGUGGAUAAAGCCCCAUCUGGGAUCCUGUGUCUGGGUAAGUGCAGGUAACAGCUGGAGAAAUGACCCUUGCCAACUGGCAAAAAUACAGAGAUGAACACCAAGAAUUAUUAGAGGUCCAGAAAACACAACUUGUGAGACAGGAGCAAAGGAGCUGGGUUUGUUUAGUCUAGGGAAGGGAGGAAUGUGCAGAGACAUGAUAAUAGCCACCAGGAACAGGACAAGACAAGAUGUGUUUGAAUUGCCUCAACAGAGAGAGGGUGGGAAUUAGGGGAAAAAAAGCAGCUUUUUAAUGGCAAGAUAUUGAAGGGCUGGAUUAGUUUCCUUCAGGAAUUUGUGGAGGCUUUCACUGGAGGUUUAAAGAGCAAUUUAGACAAACAUUUGCCAGUCAGCUCUAGCUGCUGCCUGUUACCAGUUUUGGGGGAGAUGCUCACAGCUUCAGGAAAUUAACAGCAGGGAAUAACUUCACAUUGGAAAGAUAUUCAUCAUACGGCAUCUGUGCAUGAGCGGAUGUAAUUUGAAGACUUCUGUGAUGUACAGCUCAUCAAAAGCCAUUUUCCACACUGGAAAUGAUGACAACCCAAAGUAUGGGCUUGUGCUAGCCAGUCUUGAUGUUGUCAUGUUGUCUUGGGGGUUUGGUCAACUUUAAAAAGAAAUUUCAUUGCCACUGCUUGAAGAAAAAAGAAAAAAAAAGAAAAUAAACUACCAUAUUGUUACCAAUCUUCAACUGGCUAUCAGUUUGCUACAUGGAACUGCAAAGUGACAUCUAAGUUGUGAUUUAUUUUUAAAAAUUAAGGGCAGGCCCAUUAUGCCAGCCCUAAAAGACUCUGGGUGUUUGCAAUGGCCAAUUACUGUGGAAACUGCUGAAACAAAUAAAUGUUUGGAUAAGGAUCUGGAACAAACGCCUUCAUUUUUUAAAGAAUUCUUGCAAAAUAUCACUAGACCAAGAAAUCCCAACCACUCAUCUGCUUGUUGCUACAUCUAUAUCCUUCUCUGGAAUUCUUCGCUGCAGAUCUACAAAGGAAUAAAUGAAAAACUGCUGUUCUCCCACUUAACCUAUAGCAAGCAGCCUUUAAAAACAACUCAUCUGUUACAUUCCAGCCAUAUUUAGCUGUUUUUAUCAGAGCUGUGCGGUAGGAAAUGAUUUGUGGGGGUUUUGAAAGACUGAAAUAUGAGGAUAUUCAAGUCCUGCUUUGAAUCCAAUAUAAUCCCGCACAUGAACUUGUCCCAUUGAAAUCAGGUUCAUAAAAGCAUACCUGUACACACCCUUCCUCAAGUCAAUUCUAAAUGCCUCUGGUACUGCAGUCCUGCUUGAUGGGGCAGAUCUUGCUUCUCCAGGGAAAAACAGAGCAUGGCAAGAACCCAGUGUCUUGCCAUUCUGUGCUAUUCCCUUUCCAAACAGUGGGAACGGAACAAAAUGUAAGAAAACUAGAAAAGAAAAUGCAUAGGUGGCACAUAAAUAAAACCAGUGCAUUUUAUUACUUAAAAAUUCAUGCAGACAUACACACAGACAUAAUUUUACACAAAAUGAAAGGGAGACUGAAGUAUUAGACUGAAGUAUUUGCUUUUUCAGAAGUUUUGAAAGCAAUAUUUGCUUUAUGUAGAUUCAAAUAAAGAAAGAUAAAUCCUAUUUUUUUAUUAACACAACAUCAAAGUCCACAUACAACAUGUUCUAUGUGUGAGUUACUAAUUCUCUUUUCAUCCUUAAAUGUAUUUAUUAGCUCUGUCUAGGUUUACAUUAAUAUUGUGACACACACACACAAAUGUAUUUUAUCCCAUUUACAGAUGCAGCUUUUGUGGUUUUAUUGCUGCAAUAACAGGCUUCCCAAGCAAUGGGGUUCCAAAUCAAUGUGCUAUUUAUUGUGUUAUCUAUGUUCAUGUUUCUCAUUUCUGUUUAUCAUGCUAUCUAUGUUCAUGUUUCUCAUUUCCAGUUGCAAAAAAAAAAGCUUCUUGGUUCUGUGAAUAUAACAUGCAUGCUCACCCAGCAAAGCACUGAAAUCAGAUUUAUCAUCCUCAUUUUAAUGUCCCCACUGCCUCUGAUUAGGGCUGACUAGGGAGCAUCAUACUGGUAAUUAACAUGUUUCUGUUUUUUAAAGAUAUACUUCUCGUAAGAAGCAUAAAAAACUAUAUUUUUUUUAUGUGAAAGUAUUUUAACACUUGAAAUAUGAAAGUUUAUGAAUGUAUGUCAUUUUAUUAAAAGUCUAAACCAAAACUCAUCAAUGUCCCUAUCUUGGAUAUAUAAAGUAUAGAAAUGCAUAUAAACCAUCACAAAUUAAAAAUUAACAUCUAACAAGGCAAAUCAUGUUAAUUUUCAGUUAUGAUAGCAAAAAAUCUUCCCUCUUGUUUAUUUGUUUUACUGAUUUAUGCAGUAGCUUUUUUUGCUAGAGGCUCAUGAUGUGAGAGAACAGCACAGUCCUGCAGUCCUUCCCACAGAAAUGGUGCCAAAGGACAUUCCAGAACUGGGGACAGUAAAAAAGAUUGAAAUUAAAUUUAAAAGUAUUAGCAAAAAUAUUAGCAUGACAAAAUUCAAACAAAUAAGUAUGCUAUAUUUAGGCAGAGUGGACAAAACACUGGAGAGAACAGAGAGAGACGUGAGAGAGAACUCAUUUAGGUACUCUGAGCAGGAGACUCUUUAUGAUUAAGCCUUCUGGAACCAAGCUAAAUUAAAUAUAAUUUAUAAAUACAAUUUAUAAACAGAAUUAAUAAAUAUAAUGCAUAAAUAUACUUCACAAAUAUAAAUUAAAUACACCUCUUCAGCCAUUUUAAAUCCAGGUGUCUUUAGGCACCACAAGGAUAUAGAUGUGCUUCAGCCUAUGUCACACAGUAGGUGAGCAGUAACACCAGGAACAAACCCCACAUUUACUGCUAGACCACACAGAAUUAAGCCCAGGAUGGAUGGCUGAAAUAUCAGGCACCAAAGAGUGAAAUAAGAAGAUCAAAUGUACUUUUCCAAAUGCUUUGCAAAAUAAAAUAGUGGGUUUUUUUCCCAGCACUCCAAUCCCGUAAGCACCCUUUUGUUUUCAGUGCUUGGUGAUAUUGGGUUUCAGUUUGUGGUUUUGCUAUUGUUCUUCCAAAUGAAGUAAAGAAACAUACACUAAAUAAAAUGAGGGGUGCAGUUGACCUCCAACAUUUCAUGAAAGGGCUUGUUAUGUUUACCGCAUUUAAAUGAAAAUCUACUUUGGCUGGAGCAGCAAAAUAAAAGAGCAGAAGGAACAAGGUAGUUGGAUGAUCGAGAGUUUUCCUAACAGCAAACACUUUUCAAGGUGGGCCGAGAUUAUGGGACCAAAUAUUGAAACUUGGCAGAGAUCUAAAUUCACUGGAAACUCUGUGUUUGCCUCUGAGGCAAAUGUCCUGGGCUGAUUUUACUCUUCUCCUUCCCUAUUUUCUCUUGACUUCUGGGACAACACAUGCACCUAUUUACUACCAGCCAACCAACCUACACGGUUAACUAUUCUACUUUCAAACACUCAGAUGGAACAACUCAUGUAUAUACCAGCUCUUGACACUGAUCGUGCCGUAAUCAAACCUCUCCUGAUGGGAGAGAGUUUUUAAAGUCCUUGCUAGGAGUU